GAUGAACGCUGGCGGCGUGCCUAAUACAUGCAAGUCGGACGGAUGUAGCAAUACAUUAGUGGCGAACGGGUGAGUAACACGUAGGUGACCUGCCCUAAAGAGGGGAAUACCACUUCGAAAGGAGUGACAAAACCGCAUAAACUUAUAGAGAUCAGAAGGCUAUAAGGAAAAGAGCGAUCUACUUUAGGAGGGGCCUGCGGCCCAUCAGCUAGUUGGUAGAGGUAACGGCCUACCAAGGCGAAGACGGGUAGGGGACCUGAGAGGGUGAUCCCCCACAAUGGAACUGAAACACGGUCCAUACACCUGCGGGUGGCAGCAGUAGGGAAUAUUGCUUAAUGGGCGAAAGCCUGAAGCAGCAACGCCGCGUGGACGAAGAAGGGCCUUCGGGUUGUAAAGUUCUUUUAUAUGGGAUGAGGAAGGACAGUACCAUAUGAAUAAAGUCUCGGCUAACUACGUG
Molecule: ribosomal RNA, 457 nt
Filed under: uncultured bacterium
Lineage: Bacteria
Description: bacterial SSU rRNA
Rfam family: Bacterial small subunit ribosomal RNA
Source: RNAcentral